GUCGAUACGCUCCACUUCACGGGCGAUCAGGCCAUAGCACACGUAGUUCAGGCCACUGCCACCAUAGGCCUCAGGAAUGGUCGCACCCAACAAGCCGGUUUCGCCCAUUUCGCGGAAGAUCUUCGGAUCGGUCUGCUCAUGACGGAAGGCUUCCAGCACGCGGGGCGCCAGCUUGUCGUCAGCGAACUGCUGGGCGCUAUCACGCACCAUGCGCUCUUCUUCGGUCAGUUGCUGAUCGAGCAGCAGCGGUCGACGCGGCCGGGUAGUCCUGGCCGUAAACGAUGGGUACUAGGUGUAGGAGGUAUCGACCCCUUCUGUGCCGGAGUUAACGCAAUAAGUACCCCGCCUGGGGAGUACGGCCGCAAGGCUGAAACUCAAAGGAAUUGACGGGGGCCCGCACAAGCGGUGGAGUAUGUGGUUUAAUUCGACGCAACGCGAAGAACCUUACCAAGGCUUGACAUUGAAUGACCAUCUUAGAGAUAAGAUUUUCCCUUCGGGGACAUGAAACAGGUGGUG
This 516-nucleotide ribosomal RNA is filed under the name uncultured bacterium. RNAcentral describes it as "bacterial SSU rRNA". It matches the Rfam family "Bacterial small subunit ribosomal RNA", at positions 626 to 1043 of the family's 1533-position model. The record is from RNAcentral.